Molecule: unclassified non-coding RNA, 345 nt
Filed under: soil metagenome
Description: partial contains 5.8S ribosomal RNA, internal transcribed spacer 2, and large subunit ribosomal RNA
Rfam family: 5.8S ribosomal RNA (bases 1-120)
Source: RNAcentral
GAUGAAGAACGUAGCGAAAUGCGAUACGUAAUGUGAAUUGCAGAAUUCAGUGAAUCAUCGAGUCUUUGAACGCACAUUGCGCCCCCUGGUAUUCCGGGGGGCAUGCCUGUCCGAGCGUCAUUGCUGCCCUCAAGCACGGCUUGAGUGUUGGGCCUCCGUCCUCCUCCCGGGGGACGGGCCCGAAAGGCAGCGGCGGCACCGCGUCCGGUCCUCGAGCGUAUGGGGCUUCGUCACCCGCUCUUGUAGGCCCGGCCGGCGCUUGCCGACACAUCAAUCUUUUUUCCAGGUUGACCUCGGAUCAGGUAGGGAUACCCGCUGAACUUAAGCAUAUCAAUAAGCGGAGGA